UUCUCGCUCUACAUACUUUUUCUUGCAUUUGAGUUUCUUCGUCGAUUGUUGAAUGCCCGUCUCAAGCACCAAAUUUUGGUGCUUGGGGAUUACAGGGUUUUUGUGGUUUCUUUCUCUCUCUCUACAGCAUCCAGAGGCCAUUGGUGUGUAAUUUCACCACCAAUCGUCUCGGAAAAUCCGCAGCGCAUAGAAAGAGAGAGGGAGAGGGGAUGUGAAUAUGCCGAGUUGUUCGAAUGUUGAAGAAGAUCUACUUGCUAUGGACGACGUUGCGCGGUACUUUCCAGAAAGUAGCCCAACUUUGAAUUUUGAUGAAUUGCUUAAUGGCAACUCGCAACAUGAUGAUGAGGACCUGUUCGAUUGGGAUACUGAAAACCCUGUUAUGAACGAUGAUGAUUAUAAUUUUAACAAUUCUCCUAAUGUGGAUUUUACCGACGGUGUUGAGGGUGAAAUUCCUGAGUAUGUUGGUGAUAUAGGUAAUGAAGUUGGGACGAAUUUCGUUGUUCCCUUUUCGGUUUGGCCUCCUGUUCGGGCUCCGUUUAAUUGUAGUUACUGUCAUCUCCUUCGAGAAAUCAUCCACGAAAAUGGCGAAAACAGUAUGAGGCUUGAGAUUCAUGGAAGAAUUGGUUUUAUUAGCCAUGCUAUUCAUGAGAUGCGGACUAACGUUAUCGAUGGACCUCCUAUAGUAAACUAUGAAAUGUUCGAUUUCACAAUGCAAAGCAUGGAGAGUGUAAAGCAGUUCAUAGUUCAGUAUUGUCAAAGCCGCACUCAAGAAGGAUAUGUUUUAUUGCCAGAUCCAUUAUCAGUUUACUAUGAUGCAUUAUGCUAUGGACUUAACUGCUUCAAUAACGUCGAUCCAGAUGAGCUCAACCCUCCAUCAGAUAAUACAGAGGCACGUCAUAUUGGAGCAGAGGAGGAAAACCGAACUCCAGCAAAUACGAAUGACACUAGAACUCCUAGGCCUGGCCUCGCAUCGCAGAGGCAAAGGACAAGGGCAUUAACAUUAACCGACCUGACCAGACGGUUCCACGUUCCGAUAAAUACCGCAGCUAAAGAACUAGAAAUUUGUACUACGGUGCUCAAGAAAAAAUGCCGGCAAUUUGGGGUGAAACGAUGGCCAAGUCGAGCGUGUGAACAGGUAAUUAGCAAAACUAAAAAAUUAUCAAUCUUGGAAACAAGUCUGAGAGAGGGAAAUGGUAGCCAAAAUGCAAGCAGGGAGAUUGAGACUCUUAGAAAACAGCUCGAGGAUAUUUAUGCUUGCCGGGAUGUACAUGACUAAAGAUUGAAACAGGACACCAUAAUUAGCAAUAACAUGAAUCUUCAAUUCACAUUGGCUUUUGUGAAAUGGUUUGAUAUGUUAGAAUAAUGCAAACUGAAAAUGGGCACACCAACAUUCCUUCCAUUCCAGAAACCAUGUGAUAGGGAUUUCCUAUCGGGGCAGGUUGUGCUCCCGGAUGG
RNA transcript from Papaver somniferum (opium poppy), 1455 nucleotides. RefSeq lists it as uncharacterized. The transcript is spliced from 7 exons. The record is from RefSeq and is a predicted model, not a curated record. NCBI's taxonomy places the organism in Eukaryota, Viridiplantae, Streptophyta, Magnoliopsida, Ranunculales, Papaveraceae.